RNAcentral lists this non-coding RNA (23 nucleotides) under Arabidopsis thaliana (thale cress). Lineage: Eukaryota; Viridiplantae; Streptophyta; Magnoliopsida; Brassicales; Brassicaceae. The record is from RNAcentral.
UCCGCAGUUAAGCGUGCUUGGGC